ACACAUGCAAGUCGAACGAGCGAGAGAAAGCUUGCUUUCUCGAGCGAGUGGCGAACGGGUGAGUAACGCGUGAGGAACCUGCCUCAAAGAGGGGGACAACAGUUGGAAACGACUGCUAAUACCGCAUAAGCCCACGGCUCGGCAUCGAGCAGAGGGAAAAGGAGCAAUCCGCUUUGAGAUGGCCUCGCGUCCGAUUAGCUAGUUGGUGAGGUAACGGCCCACCAAGGCGACGAUCGGUAGCCGGACUGAGAGGUUGAACGGCCACAUUGGGACUGAGACACGGCCCAGACUCCUACGGGAGGCAGCAGUGGGGAAUAUUGCACAAUGGGGGAAACCCUGAUGCAGCGACGCCGCGUGGAGGAAGAAGGUCUUCGGAUUGUAAACUCCUGUUGUUGGGGAAGAUAAUGACGGUACCCAACAAGGAAGUGACGGCUAACUACGUGCCAGCAGCCGCGGUAAAACGUAGGUCACAAGCGUUGUCCGGAAUUACUGGGUGUAAAGGGAGCGCAGGCGGGAAGACAAGUUGGAAGUGAAAUCUAUGGGCUCAACCCAUAAACUGCUUUCAAAACUGUUUUUCUUGAGUAGUGCAGAGGUAGGCGGAAUUCCCGGUGUAGCGGUGGAAUGCGUAGAUAUCGGGAGGAACACCAGUGGCGAAGGCGGCCUACUGGGCACCAACUGACGCUGAGGCUCGAAAGUGUGGGUAGCAAACAGGAUUAGAUACCCUGG
Molecule: ribosomal RNA, 726 nt
Filed under: uncultured bacterium
Lineage: Bacteria
Description: bacterial SSU rRNA
Rfam family: Bacterial small subunit ribosomal RNA
Source: RNAcentral